RNAcentral lists this transfer RNA (68 nucleotides) under Myoxocephalus polyacanthocephalus. Its description in RNAcentral is "tRNA-Phe". It matches the Rfam family "tRNA". From Rfam's summary of the family: Transfer RNA (tRNA) molecules are approximately 80 nucleotides in length. Their secondary structure includes four short double-helical elements and three loops (D, anti-codon, and T loops). Lineage: Eukaryota; Metazoa; Chordata; Actinopteri; Perciformes; Cottidae. The record is from RNAcentral.
GCUAGCAUAGCUUAACUAAAGCAUAACACUGAAGAUGUUAAGAUGGACCCUAGAAAGCCCUGCAAGCA